UACGAGGGGGGCGAGCGUUGUUCGGAAUUAUUGGGCGUAAAGGGUGCGUAGGCGGCCUGACAAGUCUGAUGUGAAAUCCCUGGGCUCAACCCAGGGCCUGCAUCGGAAACUGUCGGGCUUGAGUAUGGGAGAGGUGAGUGGAAUUUUCGGUGUAGCGGUGAAAUGCGUAGAUAUCGGAAGGAACACCUGUGGCGAAAGCGGCUCACUGGACCAUUACUGACGCUGAGGCACGAAAGCUAGGGGAGCAAACAGG
Molecule: ribosomal RNA, 253 nt
Filed under: uncultured bacterium
Lineage: Bacteria
Description: partial 16S ribosomal RNA
Rfam family: Bacterial small subunit ribosomal RNA
Source: RNAcentral